GCCUGGGUGGCUCAGCAGUUGAGCAUCUGCCUUUGGCUCAGGGCGUGAUCCCAGUGUGGGAUCAAGUCCCACAUCGGGCU
Molecule: transfer RNA, 80 nt
Filed under: Canis lupus dingo (dingo)
Lineage: Eukaryota; Metazoa; Chordata; Mammalia; Carnivora; Canidae
Rfam family: tRNA
About the family: Transfer RNA (tRNA) molecules are approximately 80 nucleotides in length.
Source: Rfam by way of RNAcentral